UACGGAGGGUGCAAGCAUUAAUCGGAUUUAUUGGGCGUAAAGGGCGCGUAGGCGGUAAGAAAAGUCAGAUGUGAAAUCCCGGGGCUCAACCUCGGAACUGCAUUUGAAACUCUUUUACUAGAGGGUAGGCGGAGAAAAUGGAAUUCCACAAGUAGCGGUGAAAUGCGUAGAUAUGUGGAAGAACACCGGUGGCGAAGGCGAUUUUCUAGCUUAUACCUGACGCUGAGGCGCGAAAGCAAGGGGAGCAAACAGG
This 253-nucleotide ribosomal RNA is filed under the name uncultured bacterium. RNAcentral describes it as "partial 16S ribosomal RNA". It matches the Rfam family "Bacterial small subunit ribosomal RNA", at positions 524 to 776 of the family's 1533-position model. The record is from RNAcentral.